Molecule: ribosomal RNA, 301 nt
Filed under: uncultured bacterium
Lineage: Bacteria
Description: partial 16S ribosomal RNA
Rfam family: Bacterial small subunit ribosomal RNA
Source: RNAcentral
CAGCAGCCGCGGUAAUACGGAGGGUGCAAGCGUUAAUCGGAAUUACUGGGCGUAAAGCGCACGCAGGCGGUCUGUCAAGUCAGAUGUGAAAUCCCCGGGCUUAACCUGGGAACUGCAUUUGAAACUGGCAGGCUAGAGUCUUGUAGAGGGGGGUAGAAUUCCACGUGUAGCAGUGAAAUGCGUAGAUAUGUGGAGGAACACCGAUGGCGAAGGCAGCCCCCUGGGCUAAGAUUGACGCUCAUGCACGAAAGCGUGGGGAGCAAACAGGAUUAGAUACCCGAGUAGUCCCUGUCUCUUAUAC